CAUGUACUUCCUCCGUUCUAAAAUUUUUGUCUUGAAUUUGUCUAGAUAUGGUUGUAUCUACUCACGUUUUAGUAUCUAAAUGCAUCCAUUUCUAAAAAAAACUAAGGCAAGAAUUUUGAGACAGAGGAAGUAUAUC
Hordeum vulgare subsp. vulgare (domesticated barley) is the source of this 136-nucleotide non-coding RNA. The record is from Rfam. NCBI's taxonomy places the organism in Eukaryota, Viridiplantae, Streptophyta, Magnoliopsida, Poales, Poaceae.